GGCAACAAUCCCAUUCUUCUC
RNAcentral lists this microRNA (21 nucleotides) under Gadus morhua (Atlantic cod). RNAcentral describes it as "gmo-miR-11194-5p". Lineage: Eukaryota; Metazoa; Chordata; Actinopteri; Gadiformes; Gadidae. The record is from miRBase by way of RNAcentral.